AGUGAACGCUGGCGGCGUGCUUAAUACAUGCAAGUCGAACGAUGAAGUCCUAGCUUGCUCGGAUGGAUUAGUGGCGCACGGGUGAGUAAUAUAUAGUUAAUCUGCCUUGCACUGAGGAACAACAGUUGGAAACGAUUGCUAAUACCUCAUACUCCAACUUUACAUAAGUUAAGUUGGGAAAGUCUUUUCGGUGCAAGAUGAGACUAUAUCGUAUCAGCUAGUUGGUAAGGUAAUGGCUUACCAAGGCUUUGACGCGUAACUGGUCUGAGAGGAUGAUCAGUCACAUUGGAACUGAGACACGGUCCAAACUCCUACGGGAGGCAGCAGUAAGGAAUAUUGUGCAAUGGGGGAAACCCUGACGCAGCAACGCCGCGUGGAGGAUGACACUUUUCGGAGCGUAAACUCCUUUUGUUAGGGAAGAAUAAUGACGGUACCUAACGAAUAAGCACCGGCUAACUCCGUG
RNAcentral lists this ribosomal RNA (463 nucleotides) under uncultured bacterium. RNAcentral's name for it is "partial 16S ribosomal RNA". It matches the Rfam family "Bacterial small subunit ribosomal RNA", at positions 29 to 507 of the family's 1533-position model. The record is from RNAcentral.